Molecule: long non-coding RNA, 446 nt
Filed under: Ananas comosus (pineapple)
Lineage: Eukaryota; Viridiplantae; Streptophyta; Magnoliopsida; Poales; Bromeliaceae
Description: long non-coding RNA (ACOM_LNC016634)
Source: RNAcentral
UCGCUUUUUUUUUUGUAGAUGCCUUAUAUGUGCAUACAUAUGGCAGGUCUGGGCGCGCUCCUAGGAGGGCCUCUGCCGGUCUCGGGGCGCGACAGAUUAAUUUGGUAUCAGAGCCUAAGGUUGAGUCUUAUUGGACCUAGCAAACCUUAGGCCGAUUGGACUAUAGGAAUUAGGCUCGUGAGAGACGAGGUCUAAUUGAUUUGUGAGCGAAAGUAUUAUGAUUGGGUUUUAUGACAACUCUAAAAAGUUAGAGUUUGAUCGGAGUGUAUGGCUUCUAACUUCGCGGAGGGUUACGUUGGCGGCCGACAACGUAACAUCAGGAGUUAGUAGUGUAGAACACUUCUUUACUUUCGUUUGACUUGAGGUACUGAUUUUUUUUUAGCGGGGUUACGGUAAUGUGGGUUGUAUUAACUUGCGCUUUUAUGAUGUUGUAGUGACGAUGUCGA